GGUGGCCCAGUGGUUAGAGCCUCCGCCUCGAAUGCGGGAGGUCGUGGGAUUGAUCCCCGGGAGAGUCA
Non-coding RNA from Potamilus streckersoni, 68 nucleotides. The record is from the annotation of a GenBank genome assembly. Lineage: Eukaryota; Metazoa; Mollusca; Bivalvia; Unionida; Unionidae.